CGCGGAGGGGAGCGGUGUAACUGCCCGCCCCAGCCGUGCGGCGUGACUGAGGUGUCGGCAGCCCUCGUGGAAGCGUUGUGUCUCCCACGAUGAUGAAGAAAAUGGGCACAGAAAUAACGAUGCGUUGGCUGAUCCUUCAUUUUUCCCCCAGCCUGUCAUCCCCGAGUGCCAGGAUUUCAGAUGUCUUCAGUCUAAAGUCUUGUACACUACUUGUCUUGUAAAUCGGGUCUUCAGUUUUGAGUAAUUCAUUUGGCAGAACUUAGAUCAGGUGGCUGAAUUAGUAGGAUUGCAACGUUAUUAGUUUAAAACGCACACUAGAAUUUGUGAAGCUUCUAAAUCAGAGCCUGCUGAAAACACUGUUUUGGUUUAAGCUUAGGAAGUGUGAGAUAGAGGAGCGGAUGGUGAGGUGUGUUGAGGUCUGGCUGACUGGCAGAGCUCAGAGUUGGCAUCGGUGGUGCAGUCUGGUUGGAAGCCUGUAACUAGCUGUGUUCCUCAGGCAUCGGUGCUGGGUCCAGUCUUGUUCAGUAUCCCUUCAUCAAUGACCUCAAUGAAGGGAUGGAGUCCACCCUCAGCAAGUUUGCUAAUGAUACAAACCUGGGAGGAGUGGCUGACAUACCAGAAUGCUGUGCUGUUGUUCAGGAAGCCCCAGACAGAAUGGAGACUUGAGAAGAAAGGAACCUUAUGAGGUUCAACAAGAGCAGCCGUAGAGUCCUAUGCCUGAGGAGCAAUAACUGCAUGCAUAAAUGCUGAUUAGGGGCUGGCCUGCUGGAAAAAGCUCUGCAGAGAAGGACCUGGGUGUCCUGGUCGACAACAGGUUAGCCAUGAGUCCGCAAUGUGGCCUUGUGGCCCAGAAGGCCAAUGGUAUCCUGGGGUGCAUUAAAAAGAGCAUGGCCAGCAGGUCAAGGGAGGUAAUCCCUCUACUCUGCCCUGGUGAGGUCACAUCUGGUGUACUGUGUCCAGUUCUGGACUCCUCCAUUAAAAAAAGAUAGUGAUAAUCUAGAGAGAGCCCAGUGGAAGGCCACAAAGAUGAUUCAGGGCCUGGAGCAUCUCCCUUAUGAAGAUAGGCUGAGAGCCGUGGGACUGUUCAUCCUGGAGAAGAGAUGGCUGAGGGGGGAUCUUAUCAAUGUUUAUAAAUAUCCAGUGGGUGGGGGUCAAGUGGAUGGGGCCAGGCUCUUUUCAGUGGUGUGUGGUGACAAGAACAAGAGGCAAUGGGCAAAAACAGAAACACGGGAAGUUCCAUGUGAACAGGAGGAAAUACUUCUUUACUUUGAGGGUGACAGCACUGGAAUUGCCCAGAGAGACUGUGGAGUCUCCUUCUCUGGAGAUAUUCAAGAUCCACCUGGACACUUUGCUGCAUAACCUACUGUAGGGAACCUGCUUUAUGUAGGACUUGAUGAUCUCCAGAGGUUUCUUCCAACCACAACAGUUCAGCAUCCUUGAAUGUAUUCUACUUGCCUGUUAACUUCCUUGUUCUUUCCCAUUGCAUUCUUGAAAUAAAUCAGUGCUGUUGGUAGCACAAAGAGAGCAGCUUGCACAAGCCACAUGGCACUUAAAGGAACUUUGACACCAAUAAAAACAACGUGCUUGUUUUUUCUAGCACUUUCCAGAACUGUUCACUCCUCCUUUUACUUCAUGCUUCAUUUUAGGAAAGUAAUGUGGAUGACACUGAAGAAACAUUGCGAAUCCUGGUUAAUAUGGCUCGAUGUUUUAAAAGUGUGCUGUUGUAGUAGGAAGUCGGUAGUAGUUAAAUGGUGUGAACAGCAAGACUGGGUAUAAACAAUUAUAUUCACCCUUUUGAUUAUUUCGUCCAUUGUGGUCCUUUUCAACCCAGACCAUUCUAUGAUAUUACACAGCUUUUACAACAAGCCCUUCCAGUUUGGACAAUCCUGCUAUGUAUAUUGACCACAUAGAUAAGCAGUGUCAGACUGUGUAUUUCAGAAGUGAACUAACAUCCUAAAAUAGGAGAUAUUUAGAUUGUCCAAUCCCCUCUGAGUUAACACAGCCCGGAAAAGACGUUUAUUGAAGGCUUGAACAGUUCAAUAUAACAAUUCAGAUAAAAAUCUAUCAUCUUUUUAAUGCAAUAUUUUAAGUCAGGAGGGGAGCAUUCUUGUGUGUAGCAGCUCUGAUCACCUCCGAAUUACUAAACUGAUCUCCGCAUGGCACACACAUAUUGACAGUGGUUCCAGGGUGGUUCUAAGGGGGAAACAAAGAGUUUAUAGAACUCUGAAGCAUGGGAGAGAAGGAAGAUGUUUUUAAGCAUUCAUUUUUCUGUUCAAAAGUCACUGCCUUGAAGAUUUCUUGCUAACAGAACUGCGGGUUCUUUCGUUCCUCUCCUGAAGAAAGAAGAGAUGUGCAUCUUAGCUCUACAAAUGGAAAAUUCACUAAGUGAAUCACAAAAAGUUAAUAAGCUGAACACUUGUCCUCCCACCCUCUGAGCCUCUGUUUCCCUUCUAUUCACCAAAGAUUGUGUUUUGUUGAUCCCAGCUCCUUCAAGGAGGUGACAGGUGGUGCAGGAGGUUGCCCUGGGCUACAGUGGAUAUCGAAAAGGGGAAGCAAAUAGUUUGUUUUCCAAGAAGGCAGAGGUUGAUUUAGACCAGCGUGCAGUUGUGUGUGCAGAAGCUAAUGCAAUUAUUGUGAGACAAAUGAAAGAGGACCACCCUGUCUUCCUGCCUCCCGGAUCAGGCUCUGCUCUCUUGUCCACUACCACAGGCUCAGUGUUACCCACAGCAGUUCUUCCCUCUUUGUGAAGAUGUGCUCUGCUAAAGGUGUUCAGUAGACAUUUACAUCAAGAACAGGAAUCUGGUGACCACAUAAGCAAGUGAUGAGAUAGAAUGUUCAAUGGACAACUGUGCCAGCUUUCAUGAGAGAUCGGCAGCAGUACUUCAUCCCCGAAAGCAGUUGAUCAAAAAUGAAUGUACUGUCAAAAAAAGCUGACAAGAAUAAGGCAUGAUUGUGAAGUGAAGGAUAUUCUUCUCUGCAAGGAUGGGAAGGUGAUGCGUGAACUCAAUGCCGUGUGAGGACACCUCAGUAGUCACUGCUGCUACAGGUCGUCAACAAAGAACAGCCCCUUUUCAAAGUGAUAGAUCUACUGAAAUCAGAUUAUGCCGGAGCAGCCUGGUUGCUUUGAAUGGGUUCAUAAAGGUUUUACUGAUGCCAAGAGCCUUUCAUUGAUCUGACAG
This 3179-nucleotide long non-coding RNA is filed under the name Gallus gallus (chicken). Its description in RNAcentral is "lncRNA (ENSGALG00010015860.1)". The record is from RNAcentral. Lineage: Eukaryota; Metazoa; Chordata; Aves; Galliformes; Phasianidae.